Ornithorhynchus anatinus (platypus) is the source of this 136-nucleotide small nucleolar RNA. The record is from RefSeq and is a predicted model, not a curated record. Lineage: Eukaryota; Metazoa; Chordata; Mammalia; Monotremata; Ornithorhynchidae.
ACCCUCUCAGGGUCAUGCCUGGAGAGUUUCCAGCAUUCUACCAGUCUCAACUAUGGGAGGGAGUCAAGUGGAGGCCUACCUAUUCCAUUCCUAGCUUGGGCAGUGGCUAGAGAGUGGAAGACAGUCUGCUACAAGU